GCACGGGAGAUCAACUCUCUUCUCGGCGUCUCUAAUCUCAGUGCACUCUCUCGAUCCAUGGUAAAAUGGGCGGAGUCUGGGAUGAGGACAACUAUUUGUUUUAUCCGUGCAAUUCAUCGGUGAAGAAG
Molecule: non-coding RNA, 128 nt
Organism: Caenorhabditis elegans
Lineage: Eukaryota; Metazoa; Nematoda; Chromadorea; Rhabditida; Rhabditidae
Source: Ensembl